RNAcentral lists this ribosomal RNA (468 nucleotides) under uncultured bacterium. RNAcentral describes it as "bacterial SSU rRNA". It matches the Rfam family "Bacterial small subunit ribosomal RNA", at positions 329 to 794 of the family's 1533-position model. The record is from RNAcentral.
CUCCAGACUCCUACGGGAGGCAGCAGUGAGGAAUAUUGGUCAAUGGGCGGGAGCCUGAACCAGCCAAGUCGCGUGAGGGAAGACGGUCCUACGGAUUGUAAACCUCUUUUGCCGGGGAGCAACGGGGUCCUUGCGAGGGCCCAAUGAGAGUACCCGGAGAAAAAGCAUCGGCUAACUCCGUGCCAGCAGCCGCGGUAAUACGGAGGAUGCGAGCGUUAUCCGGAUUUAUUGGGUUUAAAGGGUGCGUAGGCGGGCUGUUAAGUCAGCGGUCAAAUGUCGGGGCUCACCCCCGGCCUGCCGUUGAAACUGGCGGGCUGGAGUUGGAGAGAAGUACGCGGAAUGCGCGGUGUAGCGGUGAAAUGCUUAGAUAUCGCGCAGAACCCCGAUUGCGAAGGCAGCGUACCGGCGCCACACUGACGCUGAGGCACGAAAGCGUGGGUAUCGAACAGGAUUAGAUACCCUAGUAAG